UACAGAGGGGGCAAGCGUUGUUCGGAAUUACUGGGCGUAAAGGGCGCGUAGGCGGCCUGCUAAGUCGAACGUGAAAUCCCUGGGCUCAACCCAGGAACUGCGUCUGAUACUGCCGGGCUAGAGUCCGGAAGAGGCGAGUGGAACUCCUGGUGUAGCGGUGGAAUGCGCAGAUAUCAGGAAGAACACCAACGGCGAAGGCAGCUCGCUGGGACGGUACUGACGCUGAGACGCGAAAGCGUGGGGAGCAAACAGG
RNAcentral lists this ribosomal RNA (253 nucleotides) under uncultured bacterium. Its description in RNAcentral is "partial 16S ribosomal RNA". It matches the Rfam family "Bacterial small subunit ribosomal RNA", at positions 524 to 776 of the family's 1533-position model. The record is from RNAcentral.